Molecule: ribosomal RNA, 380 nt
Filed under: uncultured bacterium
Lineage: Bacteria
Description: bacterial SSU rRNA
Rfam family: Bacterial small subunit ribosomal RNA
Source: RNAcentral
GAUGAGCGCUGGCGGCGUGCCUAACACAUGCAAGUCGAGCGAUCUUCUUCGGAAGAGAGCGGCGGACGGUGAGUAACGCGUGGGUAACCUGCCCUGUACACACGGAUAACAUACCGAAAGGUAUGCUAAUACGAGAUAAUAUGCUUUUAUCGCAUGGUAGAAGUAUCAAAGCUCCGGCGGUACAGGAUGGACCCGCGUCUGAUUAGCUAGUUGGUAAGGUAACGGCUUACCAAGGCGACGAUCAGUAGCCGACCUGAGAGGUGAUCGGCCACAUUGGAACUGAGACACGGUCCAAACUCCUACGGGAGGCAGCAGUGGGGAAUAUUGCACAAUGGGCGAAAGCCUGAUGCAGCAACGCCGCGUGAGCGAUGAAGGCCUUC